Molecule: long non-coding RNA, 4197 nt
Organism: Heterocephalus glaber (naked mole-rat)
Lineage: Eukaryota; Metazoa; Chordata; Mammalia; Rodentia; Bathyergidae
Source: Ensembl
UUCCUCUUCUCCUGUCAGAAGUGCCAGGGAUUUUUCUCUUAUCUUCAUUGUGAGAACCUGCUACCACUUAGGAGCUAACAGGCAGUAAACCAGGCACGGGAUUGGGGGGCAGCUGUCUGUCCAGGAACUCAGCAGUUACGCUUCCUGUUCUCCUGCCAGGCUGGGUCCCCUGGAGGUCUUUCUCUGGUAAAUUGUGAUUCUCUGUGUCUGCCUUUCUGUCUUUCCAAUUUGGGGGGCAGCAGCUUGUCUUGUGACCUCAGUUCUCUGGUGGAUCUAUGAAAAGUUGUUGAUUUUUAGUUUGUUUAGCUUUUUUUCUUAUUGUGUGGACAGGAAAGACAAUAUCCAAGCUCUCUAUGCCAAUCAGGAAACCGGAAGCUUAAAACUAAAGUUCUCCUACUGUUUAAAUUAUAGGGGAAGCAGCAUGUCUGUGAUGGGAGCAUAGGCUCUGCUGCCCUAGGUGUUAGGAACUUCUCCCAUCCCUCCUGACUGCUUAACCGAAAGGAGCUAUGGGCCCCACCACACACCAGCUGAAGGAAUCCACACCAAAGCACGAUCCCAGGCACAGGACCUGUGUGCACAUUAUAACUGAAAAGCUCCAGCCUCCGUUACUUCUAACCUUUUGUUACAGGACUUUGGGUCCCAAAGAAAUUCUUUCGAGGUUCUGGGUGUCCUGAACAAAGAAUUGGACAAGACAUGCAGAAAAGGCUGGCCUUGAAGUCACAGGAUCCUCCUGCCUCAGCCUCUUAAAUGCUGGGAUUGCAGGCGUGUACCACCACACCGGCAGAAUGUUUGCUUUUAAAAUAAACAGUAAAUGAACACUCUUUAAUACAGUGUGCCUCAUUUUCUUCAUUUUGGUUUUCUUUCUUUUGGCUUGUGCACAAAGAAGAGUUGCGAUAGACUAAAAAUCUCUCAAGUACCUAGUCAAACAAUGACAGUGAAAAUGAUAGAAGGUAUGUUGUUAAAAGAAUGAAGUUCAGGGGUUUUUUUGUUUGUUUUUUGAGGCAGGGUCUCCCUUUGUAGUUCAAGCUGGCCCUGAACUCACUAUGUAGCCCAUGCUGGCCUUGAACUCGAAGUGAUCCUCCUGCCUCAGCCUCCCCAGUGCUGGGUUUACAGGCGUGAGCCACCACACCUAGCUGAAGUUGAGUUUUGAUAGGGUAGCUCAUAAUCAUCUUUAGCAGUGUUGUAGAUUCCCUUUGUGAUGCUAGUAAUAUGCAUAGCAAAAGCCUCAUAUAUAUGGAGAGAGCAAGAAAGAUGGAGUUGUAGUUAUAUAGACAUGCUCCUCGAUUUAUGAUAACAUUUUGUCCCAAACCCAUUGUAAGUUGAAAAUACCAUGAGUUGAAAAUUCAUUUACUAUUCCUAGUCUCCCUAGCACCAUUGCUCAGCAACACAGCACACUGUCGGGUUGUUUACCCUUUUGAUUGUACGGCUAAUGGGUACCAGCAUUGGCAGGGAAGAUUUUAUCAUCCUGUAUCACUAGCCUGGGGAAAGCUCAAAAUUCAAACUUGAAAUAAGAUUUAUACAGAUUGCAUAUUGCUCUAGCACCACCAUAAAAUCAAAGAAUUGUAAUCACACCAUUGUAAGUCAGGAGCUGUCUAUAUGUAAAUAAAUUAAUCCAUAUGUAUUGGGGGGGUGUUGUUUGUUCAUUUCAUCAAUGUUACCGGGCUGAUUUUGGUUGUUGGAAUUUUCACUGUUUUUAUAUGUAAGGUAGAGUAAUUUGCAGAUUUAUUCUUAAUUAUAAGCUGAAUUCGAACUACCAAUUUUAGGGCAUGGCCUUUAUCUUUUUGUAAAUAAACCAGCUUGUCAAAGGCCACAUUCAUUGGUAGAGGAAGUGGAAUUAGAGUCCUGUUUCUUUCACUUUCACAGGCACAUUGUUGGAAAGAAUGGGAUUCUUAGGUGUAGGAUGUGGUUGUUUUCUCCCAUCCUGCCUGUGAGGUCAAAGCAUUUGAGGAUAAAUAGAAUCACCAUGCUUCUCUUUGCCCUGCAAGCCCCAGUGAUCCAAGGUAGAAACUAUUCAUUUUAAGGAAGUUUUAGCAAACCUGGCUUUUAAGAAUGUUUGCUCUCAGCACCUUUGAGUUGUAAAAACAUAGAUUUCAGCCUGCCUGCUUCUGAAGGUUCUUUACCUGGCCCUGUGCUGUCUGAGAUGUUUUGAGUACAUCUGUCAUGCAUGUAGCUCCCAGGGAGAUUAUCAAAAUUUACAAGUCCUGGGCAAUGCCUUCCAGGUGAAAUAGAGAACUGGGAUCUGUUUAAUAAUCAAAGUUUCAAAGGUUCUCAGACAGUAAAACCCCAGCUAAAUUUUAAGCAUAAGAAGAAUGGAACAGUUUUCCUCUUAUCUAUCCAGACACCUUGCCUCAUGGGGAGGAAGUUUUCUUUUCUAAUAAAUAUGACAUAUUUCUGUAAUGGCAGGCAUUUACUUAGCAAAUACUAACUGAGUGGCUACCAUGUGUCAGCAGCUGAGUAGACACUUGGGAUACAUCAAGGAAUACAUAAAAAAAUGAUCCUUUAUAUUGGGAGUCUUGUCUAAAAGCUUUAUUUACAGAAUUAAAUUCUCAAGCAUUUUAGGCUAUUUGUAAAUAUGCAUAGAAUAUACUGUACGUGUUCCAUUGUUCUGUGAAUUACAAACUCGUAACCAGAGGGUCAGCUUAGCUCACAAACCAUUUUUUGGUUAGGCAAGUGGGCUUUGAAUUUACUUUGAAUGCUAUAAAAGAGCCAUGCACUGUAUGGAAGACACUGCCUGUUUUAUACACCCGUGGCUUUGCUCAUACCUGCCUGCCUGGCCCCUGAAGGCCUGUGUGUUCGUGACCUCUGGCAUUUGGCAUACCUGUGCUUGGCAUUGGUUCUUCAUGUUCACCUGGAAUUGUUGCUAUAAACUCUCUGUCCUCGCCUCAGAGAAUUCAGAUGUGCUGAAUGUAUUCAGAGCAAUGUCUAAAAAUGAGUUGUUCACAGGGAAUCAACUCACAAAACCACUCACAUGUAAAUACUCUGAGGUCAAAAAGGCCAGUAACUCACAUGCUUAGUAAUAGCUAAGCUGAUUCUAAAUUUAUUACAUCAUUCCCUUCCCUUACAUGGGAAAGGCAAGUUGAUUUGUUGUUCUUAGCAAAAUUGUGGUGGUUACAGGGGAAAUGAGCCCUUGCACUUAUUUUUGAGGAAGAUAAUAGAAGUCUUGUCUCUCAUUCAUGUCACUUGUCAUCCUAGUGCACUGAGCUCCUAUGCCCCUGUUCUUCUUCUGAAAUGAGCAAUUCUUCUACCCACACUCAUCUGCCCCCAAUAAAUCCUCCCCAUCCAUUGGAUCCAAUCCAUCCUUUUGUCACAGUUCCUUUCUCAUCUAUUAACAGCAAUUCUACUCUAACUCCUGUUGAUUUUCCCCUUUCUGAAUCCAUUACACACGUAGUCAGUGUUGUUCACCCAAUUAUUUAACACUUAUUAAUUGGUGGCCCUCCCCUAUCCCGGGCACUCCUAAUUUAGCAUCUAAUUAUAUAUUGUCUUGUAGUGUUUAAAGAUACCUGAGAUGUGGUCAUCUUGCCUCUUUGACAAAAGACGCAUCUACUGCUAUGAAGGACCAUGCCUGAAGCCACCUUGUCUUCCCCACAGUUCCCUGUGUGAGCUAGAAAACGAGCCUUCCCUGCCAUGGCAUUGAGAGGGAGCCCCCAGCCUGUUUGCCUCCUCCCCUGGACACUUCCUCCUCAGGACAGCUGAAUGACUGAAUGGAAGAGCCCACCACGCACUGAGCAAUGCCCCUGUAAAGAGCAGGCACCUUCUGGAACUCCACAAGUAAUUCCUUUUAUUGCAAGCACAGAAAGUUUUCAGUUGUGAUUAAUAAUGGGAUGAAUCUUCCUAGCUUCAGAUUAACGAGGCUCAAUUUCAAUUCCUAUAACGCAAGCCUAAUGUAGGGGCACAGCAUCAAGUCCUUGUUCCAGUCUCAGUUUUUACUAGGGUGACAAUACAAUUUACCUCCCAAAUCUUGGCACUUGUAAGAGUAAGACGAGUUGGACACCAGGACAAUAAGUGUUAACUGGGACUGUCACAGGGAAACUGGGACAUGUGCAUCCUAGUGUCUACAGUAGUAAAAUAAGGAGCAUCCUUUACCAUUAGCCAUUGAAGAAGGUAUGCAUUCUGGCCUCUGACCAUGUAAGGCAAAGGAAGACAACCUGCCUUCCAUCAGCAAGUCCUGCUACAACGUCCAUAUCAUUAAAUUUAGAG